This 459-nucleotide ribosomal RNA is filed under the name uncultured bacterium. Its description in RNAcentral is "partial 16S ribosomal RNA". It matches the Rfam family "Bacterial small subunit ribosomal RNA", at positions 338 to 795 of the family's 1533-position model. The record is from RNAcentral.
CCUACGGGGGGCAGCAGUGAGGAAUAUUGGUCAAUGGGAGAGAUCCUGAACCAGCCAAGCCGCGUGAGGGAAGACGGCCCUAUGGGUUGUAAACCUCUUUUGUCGGAGAACAAAACCCGGGACGUGUCCCGGACUGCGUGUAUCCGAAGAAAAAGCAUCGGCUAACUCCGUGCCAGCAGCCGCGGUAAUACGGAGGAUGCGAGCGUUAUCCGGAUUUAUUGGGUUUAAAGGGUGCGUAGGCGGUCCGUUAAGUCAGCGGUAAAAUGCCGGGGCUCAACCCCGGCCAGCCGUUGAAACUGGCAGACUUGAGUUGGCGAGAAGUACGCGGAAUGCGCGGUGUAGCGGUGAAAUGCAUAGAUAUCGCGCAGAACUCCGAUUGCGAAGGCAGCGUGCCGGCGCCAGACUGACGCUGAGGCACGAAAGUGUGGGGAUCGAACAGGAUUAGAUACCCUGGUAGUC